AGAGUUUGAUCAUGGCUCAGGAUGAACGCUGGCGGCGUGCUUAACACAUGCAAGUCGAACGGUGAAGCCCCGCUUGCGGGGUGGAUCAGUGGCGAACGGGUGAGUAACACGUGAGCAACCUGCCCCUGACUCUGGGAUAAGCGCUGGAAACGGCGUCUAAUACUGGAUACGAGACGUGAUCGCAUGGUCAACGUUUGGAAAGAUUUUUCGGUUGGGGAUGGGCUCGCGGCCUAUCAGCUUGUUGGUGAGGUAAUGGCUCACCAAGGCGUCGACGGGUAGCCGGCCUGAGAGGGUGACCGGCCACACUGGGACUGAGACACGGCCCAGACUCCUACGGGAGGCAGCAGUGGGGAAUAUUGCACAAUGGGCGCAAGCCUGAUGCAGCAACGCCGCGUGAGGGAUGACGGCCUUCGGGUUGUAAACCUCUUUUAGCAGGGAAGAAGCGAGAGUGACGGUACCUGCAGAAAAAGCACCGGCUAACUACGUGCCAGCAGCCGCGGUAAUACGUAGGGUGCAAGCGUUAUCCGGAAUUAUUGGGCGUAAAGAGCUCGUAGGCGGUUUGUCGCGUCUGCUGUGAAAUCUGGGGGCUCAACCCCCAGCCUGCAGUGGGUACGGGCAGACUAGAGUGCGGUAGGGGAGAUUGGAAUUCCUGGUGUAGCGGUGGAAUGCGCAGAUAUCAGGAGGAACACCGAUGGCGAAGGCAGAUCUCUGGGCCGUAACUGACGCUGAGGAGCGAAAGGGUGGGGAGCAAACAGGCUUAGAUACCCUGGUAGUCC
RNAcentral lists this ribosomal RNA (776 nucleotides) under uncultured bacterium. RNAcentral's name for it is "bacterial SSU rRNA". It matches the Rfam family "Bacterial small subunit ribosomal RNA", at positions 8 to 796 of the family's 1533-position model. The record is from RNAcentral.